This is a long non-coding RNA of Astatotilapia calliptera (eastern happy), 1083 nucleotides long. The record is from Ensembl. NCBI's taxonomy places the organism in Eukaryota, Metazoa, Chordata, Actinopteri, Cichliformes, Cichlidae.
CCAACCAGCAUUGACCUCAAAGUCGGCGACGUUUAUUUUAACAUAACCAAUAUAUGCUGAGAUGGGACUGCUGACACCAAUAUUAUGUAGUAGCAUACGUAACUCUGUGUUUAAAUGUUAACGGGAGAUACUGUCUAAAACACAUCGCUGAGCAGCAGCUGCAUUAUCCCUGACACGUCCUCUUGCAGCUGUUCAUCAAAUGAGCCAGUUGUGAAAUUCAUCCUCCAAGCUUCUCUGCUGUUGUGCGAGCUGCAAAUCAAAAAUAGAAGUAUGUUGCGGCGUAUGUUAAUUUAUAUACACAAAGCUGCAUAGAUUAGUGUGCAUUAGGAGUUUUUUUGACAAAGGCAGCAGACUUCUUCCCAGAGAGUCAUGUACACACACGUACAGUUUGCUCAUUGUAUUUCCAGCACCACUCAUGUACUAAUGCUUCAUUCUGUUUUUUUACUUUGUGCCCAUGCAAAUUAUUGUUAAAGCCAUUAAGUCUACAAUUUAGUUUAUGUUAAGUAUAUGACAAAGUUAAAUGUAAUUGAAUCGACUCCAGCAAAGAGUCCAUUCAAAAUUUUCACAUCAAAUUUAACUUUGAUGAAAUCGACUCGUGCAAUUGCACAACUGACCACAACACCACAGCAUUUUUUUCAUUGUUCUGUUUUGGUUUGUUAACUCUUAGUAGACUGUGGGAAAGUGAACACAACAGGAGUGAAUGUCAUUUUGCAGUGUGAAUCUAUACUGGCUGCUGCUUUCAUGUUUUGCAUUUCUAUACAUAUAAAACUGUCUGUUUACUGGACCAGUGUGAAGUCUUCAAAAAUCAUUUGUGCAAUAUUCUCUAAUGUUCUAUAACAGUAUCAGAAGAAAAUCUGCAGUGUACAUAUUGUACGUGUAGAAACUAUCAUUGAGAAUCAAGAGCUAUAAUAAUGGGCUGUAAUAAUUUAUCGGUAUCUAAUUACUGUAUAUAGGAAUGUGUGACUCUACAGGUCAACAGAUUGAUGGAGAAGGCAGAAAGCAGAUUGCUUGUGAAUGUGCAAAGUGUUUCAGUGCACUUAGUGUUGUUUGACGUGCUGUUGGAAAAUACACAAAUCAAACACA